This is a long non-coding RNA of Hylaeus volcanicus, 2566 nucleotides long. RefSeq lists it as uncharacterized. The transcript is spliced from 3 exons. The record is from RefSeq and is a predicted model, not a curated record. Lineage: Eukaryota; Metazoa; Arthropoda; Insecta; Hymenoptera; Colletidae.
CUUUUAUUGUACAUCGAAUCGUAUAACACUUUUACGUCGAUUUGGCGUUCGCUUCCAGUACGCGUUUCCGAGCUCUUUAGGAGAUGUACGAGAAUAGCUUGAUUUUAAUCUCCGUCGUUUCAUAAUAUUAUCAUAUACGUCACUCAUUAUUAAGAAGCCCCAAGCUACUUCGCGUUUCCCGCGAUCUCGUGGCGUUUGUAUGCGUAACAAUAUUCUGUGAAGUACAUCGUUCGUGAUAGUAGUGACGCAGUCUAAACAGAUGAUCAAAGUGCAGCUUUAAUCACGUGAAUUAUAGUUCUCUCUGCAUCGCGUCGUGCGCAUUUCCAGCCGCCGAUAGCAUUGCCUUGUAUACGUGACUCGAGCUGCUGCACUGUCGUGAUACAUAAGGCGUACCUAAACACAAUUGUAUCUGAAUUGAAGAAAAUUAGCAGGAAACUAACAAAAAUCUACAACAGCUACAGAAAAAGCUACAGAAUUUGAUGAAGGAUCGAAUACGUUUUUUGGAUGAUUUUUGGAUUUGAAUAUUUUCGGAGCGGUGACAAAAUGUUCAAAGGCACGCGAGGCGUAGAUUGUGUGAAAAUUUAUUUGAAAUCUCGUAAACAGUCGGGUUUUGUAGAAAACCAGUUAGGAGUGCGUCGCAAAACUCUGUUCUCUCGUCGCGAGAGACCUUCAAAGACGUUUCACACAUUUAGUAUUUUCUUGCUUGUCCUGAUUGAUAUCGUUUUAUUGGUUUUACUCGGACGCAGUUUCGCGCGCGAGAAAAAGCAACUCCUUGUCCUCGUGUACGAACAAAACUGAUACGUCGAUUUUCGGAUGCUAGCGCUAAUUUCCUCGGAGAUCGAGUAGCAUAAAAGUUUGCAUCUAUAUUGGCAGGUAUGUUCGGAUUAUCUCAAAACUAGGACAUUUAAUCCGAUAUCUGAUUCAUCGAGUUCCCCGCCCCCUCUCCCCUGGGUUUCGUCGAUCUCAAAAUGAACGGUAGUCAUUGUUAAAAAAAUAAUUUGCCGCAUUACAAAAAAACUGAACUGACCAGUCACAGGUGGCUGUCAGCUCCAAUUUUAUGCUUGGGAUUUCAAUGCUUCCAACCGUUAUUCGUUGUACUAAAAUUAGAAUCUUAAUUAUGCAGGUAAAUAUUUCACAAUGAACGAAUGAAGAUGUAACUAUUUAGUGAAUAUAUCUCUAUGUGUUGACUUUAUUUAUCAUCUAUUAAUCCAAUUUAAUUUUGCUUGACAUCGAAUACUCGGAUAUUGGUAUUUUUCUUGGUUUAUUUUUCCUUAGAACUAUAAUUUUGAUUGAAGAGGCAUAGAAUACCUCAUAAAAUGCUCUGUCUUUUUAUAUUGGAAUGUAGGUGAAAUAUAAUAAAAUAUAGUGAAAUAAAAUAUAUAAAUAAAGUAUAAUAAAACAUACUACACAGGCAAAAUAUAAUAUUGUAUCGUAAGCUAAAUAUAAUACUUUAUAUUAUAUUUAUACUACUAUACUAAUAGAGACUUUGUAUUGUUUAAAAAUCAACCAAUGAAUCUGACUCGGCACGCAUUGAGCGAUUUAAUUGUACGGUUAAGGUGUACAAUGAAUUGAAAUUGAUUUUGCAUAAUCAAGAUCUCUGUCAAUCAGCUGCGCAGAUCAUUUUUCAGAGGCACGACCGCUCAUUGUUUCGAUGAGUAAAAAGGCUUUCGAGUACAACUACGCGCGUCAACGUAUGGUUUGUAUCUACAACGUAGAUGCCUGCUGGAUGGUCAGAAUUAGAUUCGAACACAACCUACGCCAACCUUCAAAUUUGUGAAGGUGACGCGAAACGAAUGAUGGUACACGUCAGACGCGUCUGGAGGAAAAAAACUCACCGACGGAUUAGGCUUUUUGUAUAGUCUCCAAUUAAAAAUCGACCGACGCGGAACCAUUAUUUUUAUUGCGUCUGGUCAGCGAAGAAUAACGUAUGGCAGUUUGAUUCAAUAUAAAAGUAGAGAAAUAACAUGCUCGUCAGCGAAUAAAUAUCAAUCAUGUUGAUAGCCUCUCGAGCGUGUUACCGUCUAAUUUACGACGCACUAAUAGAAACGCUAUUGGUCACUCGGUUACCUCGCAUCAGUGUUUUAAUUUCGACGCUGCUGUUUUUGAUUAUGGAAGACGAAACAUUUUAAAAAGAGGACUUUCGAAAGCUAUUAAUAUAAAGAUCAUUUCUAAUGCUGUUAACUCACGAAUCAGAAAUAAUAUAGGAUACAUACUUAUUAGUAUAUUUUUAUAUUCUCCAUUUUCUUGAAAAUUUCACAAUUGUACUUUUAUGAUGUACCUAAAAAAAUAAAUCCACGUGGAAAAAUAAUCAUUAAAAUAGGUGACUUUUGCACUCAGUGUACAGAAGUAUCGUAUAAUUAAUUCUAACUUUAUUUUUGAUAAGUCAAUUGUCGAAUUGCAAAUGGCAGAAAUUAGUGGCGCCACUAGAGAACGAUUAUACCAAUGACUGCCAUUUUCAUUAUACUAAUGAUUAUUUUAAUUUAUUUAAUGACAUAAUGUACAUUUGUUUACGUUUUGUUUGUAAAUUAAGAAUUCAUUUUUGUAAUAAAUUGAUUACUGAUGUCGA